AUAUCAAUAAGCGGAGGAAAAGAAACCAACAGGGAUUGCCUCAGUAACGGCGAGUGAAGCGGCAACAGCUCAAAUUUGAAAUCUGGCCUCUCCAGGGUCCGAGUUGUAAUUUGGUAGAAGAUGCUUCGGGUGUCGGCGUCCGGUCUAAGUUCCUUGGAACAGGACGUCAUAGAGGGUGAGAAUCCCGUAUGUGACCGGCGGCCUCGCCCUGUGUGAAGCUCUUUCGACGAGUCGAGUUGUUUGGGAAUGCAGCUCAAAAUGGGUGGUAAAUUUCAUCUAAAGCUAAAUAUUGGCCAGAGACCGAUAGCGCACAAGUAGAGUGAUCGAAAGAUGAAAAGCACUUUGGAAAGAGAGUUCAAACAGUAC
RNAcentral lists this ribosomal RNA (366 nucleotides) under uncultured fungus. RNAcentral's name for it is "eukaryotic LSU rRNA". It matches the Rfam family "Eukaryotic large subunit ribosomal RNA", at positions 40 to 398 of the family's 3401-position model. The record is from RNAcentral. Lineage: Eukaryota; Fungi.